ACCGUUUUUCAAAUACGGUAACGUCAAUAAUACCAUACUCCAAACCCAUUUGAAAAGGUUUACAUACGUAUCGAUUUAUUUCAGUCAAUAUUUCAUUUUGGGUUUUUUUCGCAUAUAAAUUUUCGAUUUACCACUGGGCGCGAUCAGCCCGUAUUGCCGUAUAACCACGCCCUAAUAGUCUCAGUAUCGUGUUGAAAUAAGCUGUUGUUAUUGGCUGGUCUAAAGAUAUUCAGUUUUUUUUAAACAGGUACCUUAUCGUUGAAACGACCAGUCGGACAUGGUGUCUGAGUGGGUUACAACGAUCAGAAGCGGCGUAAAUAGGUGUAAUUGCUUCAUGAUCAAAUCAGGUGGGAGGAUGGG
Molecule: non-coding RNA, 360 nt
Organism: Cinara cedri
Lineage: Eukaryota; Metazoa; Arthropoda; Insecta; Hemiptera; Aphididae
Source: the annotation of a GenBank genome assembly